AUGGUUGCCGCCGCCGCUCGUGUCUUUCUUCCCGCAGCCUCCUGCGGGACGAUGCCUCCCCAUCCUCCAUUAGUCGCCGCUGUGGGAUGUGGUUCUGGACCGGUCCCAGGUCGCUGCCGAGGAGCAGAGGAGGACGAUCGUGGGGGGAAGGAGCAGAGGAGGACGUCACUGGGAAGGUGCAGCGAGCCUCCCCAUCCUCCAUUAGCCGCCGCUGUGGGAUGUGGUUCUGGACCGGUCCCAGGUCGCUGCCGAGGAGCAGAGGAGGACGACAGCGAGGGGAAGGAGCAGAGGAGGACGUCACUGGGGAAGGUGCAGCGAGCCCGAAGGUCCAGACGGCGCCCUCGUCAUGUGCCGGAUGCUGCUCGCCAGCCCUCUUUGUCGUCCUCAAUCUAG
Molecule: ribosomal RNA, 393 nt
Filed under: Triticum aestivum (bread wheat)
Lineage: Eukaryota; Viridiplantae; Streptophyta; Magnoliopsida; Poales; Poaceae
Description: partial small subunit ribosomal RNA
Source: RNAcentral